CAUUUUGUGGCUGGACACCUCCUUUUAGGGAGACCUACUUACUAGAUGAAGGACUCACGACAUUUUCCUUCCUAGCUAAGUCAUCCCAAGGUCGGUCAAGGCUUCUUUAGCACUCUCUCAAACUAUUAUUGGCUCGGUUUUUGACCAUGGAGUUAGAACUCAGCACUGCUUCAAGUAAGCAACUGCUGGACUUCUUGUCCAGACCAGAACCUUGAAAACUGCAUAGGAGAAAAGAAGUAGGAAAGUCCGAAAAGCAGAAGAUUUCUAUUUGUGAGAGGUCAAGCUAGAAAGGGCUAACGGUGGAUACCUAGGCCACACAGAAAGAGUUCAAGAGUAAGCUAUGUCAAAGCAAAUUCAACAAAGCACCCCUCAUCUACAAGGAAACAAAGAGCCAGAGUAGAAAAACAGAGUGCUGGAUUGAACCCCCACAAAGAACCUUGAAAAAAGCAUACACAC
This 456-nucleotide unclassified non-coding RNA is filed under the name Halospirulina tapeticola BDU 101022. RNAcentral's name for it is "partial 16S-23S ribosomal RNA intergenic spacer". The record is from RNAcentral. Lineage: Bacteria; Bacillati; Cyanobacteriota; Cyanophyceae; Spirulinales; Spirulinaceae.